GCAAAUGGUUAUUUAUGUUUAAUUAUAUUAACUACACUCCUUUCCUUUACAGGGACCCCUCACCAUGACCUCCCGUAUCGCCAUGGGCCCAUAAGACAUCAGGACCUACACCCCCCACCGCCAAGAGCGAUGCUUUUAGCAGCAUCUCCAGCUCCAACACAUGCAUCUGAUGCAUCUGACAGGUCAAUGGAUCGACCUGUCACAUUUAAACAGAGAGUGAUGCUUGAAGCAGCAUCUCCAGCUCCAACAUGUGCAUCUGAUGCAUCUGACCAUUCAAUGGAUCGACCUAUCACGUUUAAACAGAGUGUGAUGCUUUUAGCAGCAUCUCCAGCUCCAGCACAUGCAUCUGAUGCAUCUGACAGGUCAAUGGAUCGACCUGUCACAUUUAAACAGAGAGCGAUGCUUGAUGCAGCAUCUCCAGCUCCAACAUGUAGAUCUGAUGCAUCUGACCAUUCAAUGGAUCGACCUAUCACAUUCAAACAGAGAGCGAUCCUUGAUGCAGCAUCUCCAGCGCCAACAUGUGCAUCUGAUGCAUCUGACCGUUCAAUGGAUCGACCUGUCACGUUUAAACAGAGAGCGAUGCUUUUAGCAGCAUCUCCAGCUCCAACACAUGCAUCUGAUGCAUCUGACCGUUCAAUGGAUCGACCUGUCACGUUUAAACAGAGAGCAAUGCUUGAUGCUGCAUCUCCAUCUCCAACAUGUACAUCUGAUGCAUCUGACCGUUCAAUGGAUCGACCUGUCACAUUCAAACAGGGAAUGAAGCCAGAGGCAGCAUCUCCAGCUCCAACAUGUGCAUCUGAUGCAUCUGACCAUUCAAUGGAUCGACCUGUGACGUUUAAAAGAAUAAAGCUAGAAGCAGCAUCUCCAGCGCCAACAUGUGCAUCUGAUGCAUCUGACCGUUCAAUGGAUCGACCUGUGACGUUUAAAAGACCAUCACCAGCUCCUACCUCCAUUUCUAUGAGGGGACAUUUGACAAAACAACCACUUUUGUUUAACAGAGGCGAAGAUACUAUUGGCGAGUUAUCAGCCUGCCUGCUGACGGAGGACCACUUCAGAUGUCCAGUGUGUUCAGAUGUGCUGAAGGAGCCGGUCUCCA
RNAcentral lists this long non-coding RNA (1096 nucleotides) under Astyanax mexicanus (Mexican tetra). RNAcentral describes it as "lncRNA (ENSAMXG00005003370.1)". Lineage: Eukaryota; Metazoa; Chordata; Actinopteri; Characiformes; Acestrorhamphidae. The record is from RNAcentral.